GACGAACGCUGGCGGCGUGCUUAACACAUGCAAGUCGAACGGAAAGGCCCUGCUUUUGUGGGGUGCUCGAGUGGCGAACGGGUGUGUAACACGUGAGUAACCUGCCCUUGACUUUGGGAUAACUUCAGGAAACUGGGGCUCAUACCGGAUAGGAGCUCCUGCUGCAUGGUGGGGGUUGGAAAGUUUCGGCGGUUGGGGCUGGACUCGCGGCUUAUCAGCUUGUUGGUGGGGUAGUGGCUUACCAAGGCUUUGACGGGUAGCCGGCCUGAGAGGGUGACCGGCCACAUGGGGACUGAGAUACGGCCCAGACUCCUACGGGAGGCAGCAGGGGGGAAUAUUGCACAAUGGGCGGAAGCCUGAGGCAGCAACGCCGCGUGCGGGAUGACGGCCUUCGGGGGGUAAACCGCUGUCGCCUGUGACGAAGCGUGAGUGACGGUAAUGGGUAAAGAAGCACCGGCUAACUACGUG
This 468-nucleotide ribosomal RNA is filed under the name uncultured bacterium. RNAcentral describes it as "partial 16S ribosomal RNA". It matches the Rfam family "Bacterial small subunit ribosomal RNA", at positions 28 to 507 of the family's 1533-position model. The record is from RNAcentral.